This 1251-nucleotide long non-coding RNA is filed under the name Numida meleagris (helmeted guineafowl). Its description in RNAcentral is "lncRNA (ENSNMEG00000016775.1)". The record is from RNAcentral. Lineage: Eukaryota; Metazoa; Chordata; Aves; Galliformes; Numididae.
UUUUUGUACUUGAUUUGUUGGGGACUGAGUGACCUGGCAAUAAAACUGACUUCAUAUUGCUGCUUAACUCUUAUUGAUGUCUUGUUCAGCUUCUAUCUGCAUACAUGAGAAGCAGAAUGCAAGCCCUGCUCCUGAGCAGAUGCAGGGGAUUGUCUCCUGAGCACUGAUGGGUGCAGCCUGGGAUGAACUGCUCACAGCUCUGUCCCUGCACGGUGACUGCUGCCGCGCUCCCAUACCGCCAGGUCGCAGCUGGGGUUUGUCUCACUGCUGCAAAGAUUGCAGCAUCCCACAGCAGCACUUCACUUUACCAUAUUUUAAAAUUAAAAACAAACAAACAAACAAAGCCACCGAACCUGAGGACCAUUUUGUGUUGCUUAAUUCCAGCAGGAGAAAACCCCAGUGAAUACGUUGACAGGAACUUCCCCCACUCCUGCCUACUUCAUGUGCCACCCAGCUUCUCCCAUUCAGCAGCUCACCUGAUUUAAAGACCGAACCAGGAUUUAAAGAACAACAUGAAGAAAAGAAACCCUAAGCUUACUCAAGUCUUCCUGUGACAAUAGCUUUGCCUUGACCUACAAAAACUGCAAAAGAUGGCUGAAAACACCUGCAUUUACAUUCAGACAUAUAAAAAUUCCUAUUUAUGGAUAAACUGUUAUGGAAAGGACAGGGGCAGGCCGGGGGAGUUCUCACACAGCCAGCACCUGCAGCAGCCCGCCCUGCAGCACUCCGUGCCCAACCCUGCGCUGCCUCUGCCGCUUCUGUCCCCAAGCGGGCUGGGUGAAAGCCACCACAGACACACUGCAUGCACUGACACCUCCUGCCAGGACUGACUUCUUGACACCUCCAAAUCAAGACUGGGCAUUUCUCUAGAAGACACAUUGCAGCAGUUCCAUCCAGUUCCACCUGGCCCGUGGCUGUCACAGGAAGCAGAUACACAGGGUAUGUGACGGUCCUUCCUUGGCUGAAAAUAGCUUUAAAGCAGCCCCUCAGUGCCUUUGGGGAAGCCAACUGUCCUUAAUCCUGAGAUACAAACAUUUUAGGAUUUGUUUUUUUCUGAUCUGUCAUCCAGGAAGCUGCAUGUACAUUACAGAACACCGGCACUCCACACCCGUGUGAGUUAAGAAGAGAUUACUUUGCAGGGCAAAUAUUGCAAGCACUUUCCACUUCGACCUGUGCAUGCAGUCUGCUGGACGUUUCUGCAAGUGCUGCAGCAAUCCCCAAUAAAUGGCAGGAACAUCCGUGGGAAGAGCA